UACGUAGGUCCCGAGCGUUGUCCGGAUUUAUUGGGUUUAAAGGGAGCGUAGGUGGAUUGUUAAGUCAGUUGUGAAAGUUUGCGGCUCAACCGUAAAAUUGCAGUUGAAACUGGCAGUCUUGAGUACAGUAGAGGUGGGCGGAAUUCGUGGUGUAGCGGUGAAAUGCUUAGAUAUCACGAAGAACUCCGAUUGCGAAGGCAGCUCACUGGACUGCAACUGACAUUGAGGCUCGAAAGUGUGGGUAUCAAGCAGG
This 253-nucleotide ribosomal RNA is filed under the name uncultured bacterium. RNAcentral's name for it is "partial 16S ribosomal RNA". It matches the Rfam family "Bacterial small subunit ribosomal RNA", at positions 524 to 776 of the family's 1533-position model. The record is from RNAcentral.